This 440-nucleotide ribosomal RNA is filed under the name uncultured bacterium. RNAcentral describes it as "partial 16S ribosomal RNA". It matches the Rfam family "Bacterial small subunit ribosomal RNA", at positions 338 to 795 of the family's 1533-position model. The record is from RNAcentral.
CCUACGGGUGGCAGCAGUAGGGAAUAUUGCUCAAUGGGGGAAACCCUGAAGCAGCAACGCCGCGUGGAGGAUGAAGGUUUUCGGAUUGUAAACUCCUUUUUUUAGAGAAAAUAAUUACGGUAUCUAACGAAUAAUCACCGGCUAACUCCGUUCCAGCAGCCGCUGUCCUACGGAGGGUGCAAGCGUUACUCGGAAUCACUGAGCGUAACGAGCGCGUAGGCGGGAUAGCAAGUCAGAUGUGAAAUCCUAUGGCUUAACCAUAGAACUGCAUUUGAAACUGUUAUUCUAGAGUACGGGAGAGGUAGGCGGAAUUCUUGGUGUAGGGGUAAAAUCCGUAGAGAUCAAGAGGAAUACUCAUUGCGAAGGCGACCUGCUAGAACAUAACUGACGCUGAUGCGCGAAAGCGUGGGGAGCAAACAGGAUUAGAUACCCUUGUAGUC